Molecule: ribosomal RNA, 484 nt
Filed under: uncultured bacterium
Lineage: Bacteria
Description: bacterial SSU rRNA
Rfam family: Bacterial small subunit ribosomal RNA
Source: RNAcentral
GAUGAACGUUGGCGGCGUGCCUAAUACAUGCAAGUCGAACGAAGACUGUAGUAAUACUGUCUUAGUGGCGAACGGGUGAGUAACGCGUGGGUGACCUGCCCCGAAGUGUGGGAUAACAGCUCGAAAGAACUGCUAAUACCGCAUAAUAUCCAAGAGAUUAGACGCUUUUGGAUUAAAGGAGUAAUUCGCUUCGGGAGGGGCCCGCGUCCCAUCAGCUAGUUGGUAAGGUAAUGGCUUACCAAGGCGAUGACGGGUAGGGGACCUGAGAGGGUGGCCCCCCAAAUGGAACUGAACACGGUCCAUACACCUACGGGUGGCAGCAGUAGGGAAUAUUGCACAAUGGGCGAAAGCCUGAUGCAGCAACGCCGCGUGAGCGAUGAAGGCCUUCGGGUCGUAAAGCUCUGUCCUCAAGGAAGAUAAUGACGGUACUUGAGGAGGAAGCCCCGGGCUAACUACGUAGCCAGCAGCCGCGGUAAAAUCACGU